CCUACGGGUGGCAGCAGUGAGGAAUAUUGGUCAAUGGCCGAGAGGCUGAACCAGCCAAGUCGCGUGAGGGAAGACGGCCCUACGGGUUGUAAACCUCUUUUGUCGGGGAGCAAAGCGAACCACGUGUGGUUCAUUGAGAGUACCCGAAGAAAAAGCAUCGGCUAACUCCGUGCCAGCAGCCGCGGUAAUACGGAGGAUGCGAGCGUUAUCCGGAUUUAUUGGGUUUAAAGGGUGCGCAGGCGGGGGUGCAAGUCAGCGGUCAAAUUGCGGGGCUCAACCCCGUACUGCCGUUGAAACUGCAGCCCUUGAGUGCGCGAGAGGUAUGCGGAAGGCGUGGUGUAGCGGGGAAAGGCAUAGAGAGCACGCAG
RNAcentral lists this ribosomal RNA (368 nucleotides) under uncultured bacterium. RNAcentral describes it as "partial 16S ribosomal RNA". It matches the Rfam family "Bacterial small subunit ribosomal RNA", at positions 338 to 704 of the family's 1533-position model. The record is from RNAcentral.